CUCAUUCUUGUUAAUUUUAUACAAUACCUUGGUUCUAUAUUAUCUAUUUUUUCAAUCACAAAUUAGAAAUUAUUAUGAUUGCUUUAGUGAGUCCAUACAUUCUUAGAUUUACUCACCCAUUUUCUAUCACUUUUGCUUUCUAUUCAUUUAUGUAUCUCAGAUUUGCUCUCUAGAGUAAUUUCUCUUCUCUCUGAAUUUUACCUUCUCAGGUUUCUUUUAGGAAAGAAUGGUAGUAAAUUUCAGAGUUAUUCAUCUUUAUUUUACCCUUGCCCUUGAAAGACAGUUUCACACAGUUUAGAAUUUAGUGAUUUUUUUUUUUUGUCCACACUUCAAAUGGUUCAGUUUGGCUUAGAAUGUCCUCACCAUUGACUGUCCAUAAUGCAGCUGUGAUCUCAGCCUUGUUCAUUUCAGAAGACCCAUACAGAAUGGCCUUUUAAAACAUCUUCCUAAGAUCUAGGGAAAAUAUUUGAAAGAAAUUGCAAGAUUAUGCCCUUAGAUAAUUGCACUCAGUGAAUCCCUUUUACUAUAAUUUUUGACUCCUACAAAUACCAAAUCCUGAGAGAAGUGAUUUCAUAAUUUUAUAUAGUUUUUCUGUUAGAAAUGCAUCAACAUAAAGAUGUGUAUUAGUUUCCUAGGGCAGUGGUAAUAAAUUACUACAAACAGGGUAGCUUCAAACAAUAGAAAUUUAUUAUCUCUCAGUUCUAGAGGCUAUAAGUACAAAAGAAACCAAGGUGUGAGCAGGGCCUCAGUGCCUCCGAAGACUCUGGGAAAGCGUCCUUCCUUGCGUCUUCUGGUUUCCUGUGGCUCCACGUGUUCCUUCAUUUGCGACUGCAUGACUUCAAUUUCUACUUCACAUGACCUUCUUCUUCUGUCUCAGUAUCUCUCCUUUUUUGUCUCUUAUAAAGGCCUAUGCUAAUCCCAGAUGAUCUCAUCUUAAAUCCUUACCUUAAUUAUACCUACAAAGACUGUCAUUCCAAAUAAGGUCACAUUCUGAGGUCCUGAGCAGAUAGACCUAUUGGUAGCCACACUUCAAGCCGCCACAAGAUGCCUCAGCAUUUGACGAAAGCUGUAGAAAAACCGAGCUUGAGAUUACAUACAUUUUUAUUCUAAAACUCUAAAAUGUGGCAGUAGAAAAACCAGACUUUUAACUAGGAGUUAGGGUUUUCUAGUUUUUUAAUAAAUUUCUUAAUUUUGUCAUUGGAAAGUUGAAAUAAGUGAUACAUUUUACCAGCUCAUGGUGAUUCAGCUGACAACACUUUUCUGUUCUCUCAUCUAUGUGGCUUCUGGAGUCAGCACUCAGGAUGACAUGAGCCCAUUGUUACCUUUUGUGUGAUAAUUACAUCUGUUAGGCAUUGACAGAUUUGCCUGAUGGACAAGUCUCCAUACUAGAUCUAUAACUUACAAGGAUACUUGAAACCACUAAGAAAUUGUACUUUCUAGAGAAGUUAUAUUAAAUACAGUUCCAAAGAUUUCAUUUCCUAUAGAGAACACUAUGGGAGAGUAAGAUGAAAUAGAGUUUUGAAAGAUGCUGGGGUCAAAUUUUUUCCAGCUCUUGUGGUCUCCUUCUAUUAUAAGGAAUUUUGGUGAAUGCAGUCUAGAAAGUAUGUGUUGUCAGCCUUCUCUCUUCUAUCAUUUCUCAGCAGAGUGGAGUCAUCCUUAAACUGUCAUCUCUCCUUUAUAGAGUUGAAACAAUUAUGUAAGAACAUAGAGGUUUCAUGCGGUUUUUGUCACAGUCAGCAUGCCACUGGACAUGUCCAGAGUUAAAAACCAUUAAAAUGAAUUUAAUGCUUGUGAAAGUUGCUGAUGUAGGAAAGGCUAUGUCUUAUUUUGUUGGUUUUUUAAAUUCAAUUGUCUGUAUAGAGAGCAUCAGAUUCUCUCUCUCUCUCUCUCCUUUUUUUUUUUUUGACAAUUUAUUUUACUUAUAAAGGGGCUAAUUCCUUGAGCUCCAAGAAUAUCAUCCAUUUUUUAUGCCAACAAAACCACUUAUAAAAUUCUUAUAAAGAAGUCGGAAGUAUUUUAACUAAUUCAUUUGUAUGACAUGAACAGUAAGUCUAGACUAUCUUAUGGACAGAAUGUGUUAGGUUCAGAGAGUUGAUUCAAAGGCUAGAUGGCUACAUUUUAGGCAAAUAACUGAGUGGAUUUUCCUCCUAGGUGUCAGUUCUCUUCUGAAGACAUUCUGGCAAUUGGUAGCCCCUCAAGGGACUUUCAAGUGUCUAGGUUGUUUAAAUGUAUGUGCCCAUUUACAAAAGUGAUUUAGGCCUUCCUUUAAUCGUUUCAGAUCUUACAAAUAACUAUACUAAAAAGUUGCCGUUGAGGCCAGUUUGGGGGAAAAUAUACAGAAUAGAAUACAGAACAGAUACAUGCUAGAAUUUUAUAUCCAGAAAAUAUCCUAAAGAUGAUCUAGCUCUUGUUCAGACACCCUGCAUGGCCACCCAAGGGCCGUGUUCACCAUUCUGCUCAUUGCAUAUAAUAUGACGCUGGCCUUGAACCAGACUUUUAUGCACUGAAGCGAAGACAAAUUUCCAAGAUGCCAUCCCACUGAAAUGGUCCCUUUCAAAUGCUACCUUGGGAGACAUUAACAGUAUUUUGUAAUACCAAUAGUAAUCAGAAAACCUUUAAAUCUUAAAACUAGCCACUGUUGGUUAUCUCAUCUGCUCAAGAAUAGCAGAAACACAACUGAGAUAAUUUUUGAGACUCCUCUGAGCCCAUCUGAUAUCCCUGGCAAGCCUAUGGAAGUGAGCUAUUUUCAGCCUGUGUUUUAAACCCUUCUGCCAGAGUGCCAGCCCUGGCCCAAGAGUUAGGAUCCAGAAAUAUAAAACUCUAAGAAUGUUUCUCUCUUCAAAUCAAGGGGGAUAUUAAACUCUGUAGGGCAGAUUUAAAGCAUUCAGCAGAAGGGCUUUUACAUACAAAUACUAAACCAUAAGAGUCUUGCAUAGAGUAAUCCGUUGGGGUUUUAAAAGUAAAGGAAAAAUCUGAACUUUGAAUGCUGAGUUAGACUUCACCUACCAGGGGAAUUAAUCUGGAAGCUCUCUGAUUUUUUCAGUUAAAAGCUAUCUUGUCUGUUUUUACAGAAAAGAACACUGAACCAUUCAGUACACUACAGGGGAUGCUACAGGGAACUCAAGCAAAUAUAAAAUAUGGCACCUGUCUCUGAAACCCUUACAUGACUAUUUACAGACGAGAAAACUGAAAACAAUAAAC
Sapajus apella (tufted capuchin) is the source of this 3201-nucleotide long non-coding RNA. RefSeq lists it as uncharacterized. The record is from RefSeq and is a predicted model, not a curated record. The transcript is spliced from 3 exons. NCBI's taxonomy places the organism in Eukaryota, Metazoa, Chordata, Mammalia, Primates, Cebidae.